CUGCGUGCAUGUCAUGUUAUUUCUGUAUUCAAUCAUCAAUCAAGGGAUACCAAUAUCUAUUUUCUAAGUCCAUCAUGUUUGAUAUGAAUCUAAUCUAUUGCAAUGAAUAUAGCAUACAUGAGUUAUUUAUCUCUAUCUCUUUAUCUGUGUUUGUUUGUGUAGAUAUACUGUGGCAGAAAAUGCACAAUGAUUAUGAAAUGUCUUCCGGCACUAAAUAUAGGCAGUUUAAUUCUUGAAUAUAAUAACCAUCUAAGGACUACUCAUUAGACAAAGUACUGAAUUAUGAAUGCUAGGCUAUGGCUUACUGAGCUGGGUGGGUAUUUCAAAUUCUGGAAAGAAAUCAUGUCAGAUUUCACUUGCUUGACAGAGUACUGAAUUAUGAAUACUAGGCUAUGGUGUACUAGGCUGGGUAGGUAUUUCAAAUUCUGUAAAGAAAUCAUGUCUGAUUUCACUUGCUUGACAGUAGCUGCCUCUGUUACUUUUUCACAGGAUUAAUAGCAUCAAUACUUGAUGUGGCCCAACUGCAAGUGUAUGGGUCGUUCAAG
Molecule: unclassified non-coding RNA, 545 nt
Filed under: Hevea brasiliensis (rubber tree)
Lineage: Eukaryota; Viridiplantae; Streptophyta; Magnoliopsida; Malpighiales; Euphorbiaceae
Source: RNAcentral